UACGUAGGGGCUAGCGUUAUCCGGAAUUACUGGGCGUAAAGGGUGCGUAGGUGGUUUCUUAAGUCAGAGGUGAAAGGCUACGGCUCAACCGUAGUAAGCCUUUGAAACUGGGAAACUUGAGUGCAGGAGAGGAGAGUGGAAUUCCUAGUGUAGCGGUGAAAUGCGUAGAUAUUAGGAGGAACACCAGUUGCGAAGGCGGCUCUCUGGACUGUAACUGACACUGAGGCACGAAAGCGUGGGGAGCAAACAGGAUUAGAUACCCCUGUAGUCACUGAG
Molecule: ribosomal RNA, 276 nt
Filed under: uncultured prokaryote
Description: partial 16S ribosomal RNA
Rfam family: Bacterial small subunit ribosomal RNA
Source: RNAcentral